GAUGAACGCUGGCGGCGUGCCUAAUACAUGCAAGUCGAGCGAACAGACGAGGAGCUUGCUCCUCUGAUGUUAGCGGCGGACGGGUGAGUAACACGUGGAUAACCUACCUAUAAGACUGGGAUAACUUCGGGAAACCGGAGCUAAUACCGGAUAACAUGUUGAACCGCAUGGUUCAACAGUGAAAGACGGUUUUGCUGUCACUUAUAGAUGGAUCCGCGCCGCAUUAGCUAAUUGGUAAGGUAACGGCUUACCAAGGCAACGAUGCGUAGCCGACCUGAGAGGGUGAUCGGCCACACUGGAACUGAGACACGGUCCAGACUCCUACGGGAGGCAGCAGUAGGGAAUCUUCCGCAAUGGGCGAAAGCCUGACGGAGCAACGCCGCGUGAGUGAAGAAGGUCUUCGGAUCGUAAAACUCUGUUAUUAGGGAAGAACAAAUGUGUAAGUAACUAUGCACGUCUUGACGGUACCUAAUCAGAAAGCCACGGCUAACUACGU
Molecule: ribosomal RNA, 496 nt
Filed under: uncultured bacterium
Lineage: Bacteria
Description: partial 16S ribosomal RNA
Rfam family: Bacterial small subunit ribosomal RNA
Source: RNAcentral